RNAcentral lists this long non-coding RNA (25665 nucleotides) under Nicotiana tabacum (common tobacco). Its description in RNAcentral is "long non-coding RNA (NTAB_LNC006204)". The record is from RNAcentral. Lineage: Eukaryota; Viridiplantae; Streptophyta; Magnoliopsida; Solanales; Solanaceae.
UCGACUAGAUUCUGCACAGUGAACAGUUAAAGAGAAGUAAACCAAGCAAACUGAAAGAUAAUAGGACACAAUAAUUUUUAUACCGGUGAGGUACUUACAUCUAGUUUCCCUUGGGUCACAAGGGACUUCUUAGAUCUUUGAUAAUAGGUUACAAUGAUGAUGGUUUUGGUUCGCUCACCAUCAACAACAUUCAGUGAUAAUGCCUUUUGUAAUGUUGACACAACUUUCUUUUUGUGUUCUAUCUCUUCCUAUCUUUUAUGACACUUGUAGACUCAAGAAUACAAUGUUUGUACUAAGAACUAGAAAGGUUUAGAAUCAGUUUAUGUAGUUGCGCAUCCAAUCCUUGAGUAUGCCACUCUUCUUAUAGACCAGAUUUUAGAGCUGUUGUUGAUUUGUUUUUGAUAUUUGAUUCAUGACUCAUGCCUUUAAUUCCUUCAAGAAGGAUGGGCUGGAUUUAAUAAUCUAGUGUUCCAAGCCGAGAUCUAGAGAGUGCUUCCAUGCUCCAUGCUUUGUCGAAGAAAGGAGUAGAUGGGCUGGAUUAGUUUAUCCAGGGAGUGCUUUCCAUGCUCCAUGCUUUAUUGGGUAGAGGAACAAUACUUCAAGUUGUCUCCCAUUAUAUUAUGUUUCCCUUCCACUUUGAAUCUUCCUUCAUACAUGAUCUGCUAUUUGUAUUUGCAGGUGAGUUAUAUAUAAGGCAAUGGUUCAAAAUACAUAGCCAUUGAGCAGAUCUUCAUUCCUUUUUGGCAAUGCUUGCUUCACCUGAAUCUGCAUACACUAAUAUAACAUUAGUCAAGACUUCUUUAUGGAUAUUUGAUCAUUAUUAAAAUUCUACACUUAACCGUCAUUAGUUUAUCAUUCAUCAGAUGAAGUCAUAAAUUCCUAAUAUAUAGAGGAAAGAAAAUCCCUUGCAAAGGGAGCACUGUUGCAGGCUAAAAACCUUGACUUAAACUGGUGUUUCCGUUGAUGUUUUGAUGUAGAAACUAUAAGCUGAGCACACAAAUGAUAGAAAGGCAUGUAGGAGAGAUAUCUGGUUUGAGUUUGAGAUAAAUGAGGCAACUGCAGUAACUAGUAGCUGAGAUAAGAAUUUAGUUUGAGAAUGUUCAAAUGAAUAACUAGCUAGCUAGUUUCUUGCCACCUAUAACCAAGAUCCUGGAGCAUCUGUUAAGAAGUCAAAGGAGAAAAGCUCCUGGCCUCUGAUACUUUUGCAGCUGUGGCUACUCGUUGCUGCAUUGCUUGACAAUCGAUAAUUGGCUUACUUUUCUAAGAUGCUUCUUACAUCAAGCAACCCAAUCAUUAAACAUAAUGACCAUAAAUAUCUAAAUAACUUGUCCCUAUACGGUUAUCUGUGGGCACUACAAAUGCUAGCUAAACUGAUUUUCUGGCUUUCUACGAUUCUUGUUUUACCACUACAAGUGAUCUUGUUUAGAACCCUUUAUUCUGAUGAGAUAUAAGAGAGCAUCAACUCACUUGUCAAACCAAGAUCUUGCUAAAAGUAGUGGAGAACCCCAGCUAAAACAGUUUUAAGCAUUAUUUUGGCUAUAAUGAACACAUCCAGAGAGGGACAGCGCAUCUGCAAUCAUUCUUCUUUCUCUUAUGGUCACUAUCAUCAAUAUUGUUAUUAAAGGAUGAGUUGUUUCCUUUUUGAAAUAACUCGCUUGUAUAGAUAAGAAAAAUAUAUCUUAAUUAAGCACUAUUAGGGAAAAAAGCACAAGCUAAAACUUACCUUCUGACAGCACAAUAGGAAUAUGCAAAAUUCAAAAGCAACGGCUAUUUUUAUCAUUACCAUUAUGAUGUAGAUUCUGGCAAGUAUUAUUGAGGAAUAUUGGCCCCCUUUAUAGAAUGGUCACGCAUAUAGAAUAAAGGAUGAAACUUUGUCUGAGGUUCAUCUUGUCUGGUUAAAAAUGGUGAUUAGGAUUCCUCCUUAUCAAAUCCUAUGUCAACACUCGAGCUUCUGCGCUUAGGUGGAAUCAGCUACAGUUUCCAUGUCAGCAUUCACGGUCCCAAUAACUGGUCAAGCGACUUCAACUCAUUGUCAAUCUCGGAUUACUCUUGAUUUGCUUCACUAUGAAAACCAUGUUAUGUGUUUGUAUGAGAGGCCUGGAUUUUUUUCUGUGACUCAUCAAUGACCAUAGAUUGUGUAAUAUUCACUCAUUUCUUGCCACUUAUAACUGUGCGGAGAGUUUGUCAAUUCUUGGAUCUUUGCUUGAAAACUCUUACCAAUGCAUAAUAAACUAUCCCUUUAGUAAGGGAGUUCAGAUAUUAGCAUUCUCCUUUUAUGGCUUUUGAACCAAGGAAAAGUUAUAGUAUAACCUUACAAUCCUUUUCCUUUUAUGAAAAGAGAGAGAUCACUAAACUGAUUAUUGUCAAAGAUGGUUAACCUUAUAACUUAUCAUAAAAACAAUUACAGGGCUUCAAAGUCAUAAAGUUCAAAUCUUGUGCCAUGCAUCACAUUCAGAAUCUUCAGAGAAUUGAUGAAAAACAAAGGUAAACGUCGUGUGAUUGUAUACCUUAAUACAUUGUCUCAGGUACCAGUCAAGAAAGAGGUAUUUCUCUUAAAAUUGAUAUAUUAAAUACUGUCAGGAAUAACGCAACUCUCAUGUUUUGUUCCGAAUUAAUGUAUCACCUGUCUGUACCGAUAAAAGCUGUUAACAUUCUUAGCAAUCUAUUUGGUGAAACUAAGGACUGGUCUGAUAAUAUCUAGAGUGCUCUGAUUUCUAACACAUGCAUGACUAAACAGGAGAUGAAAAGAAGUCCACUUUUGAAUUAUUAAGAAGAAUAUUACACAAUAAGAAUAAUAGGACUUGAAUUUGCAUUAUGAGGGAAUUGAUUCCUUGGUGGUAAACUUUGUCACAGUUUUUGCCCCUUUAGAACCUGAACCAUUUUCCACCUGAACGACGUUAGCCUUCGUGUCAGGCAGUUGCUUGCAUUGGCAAUGUGGAUUACACACACUAAUCUAAUGUGUAAGCGUGAGAAUCCAAAUCAUCUCAAGGGUCCAUCUAUCUUAGCAAGAUCACGCGGUAAAAUAACCCCACCUUUCACAUAACAUCUUCCCCUCAUAACACCUACUAGAAAUGGAUACAGAACAAAGAAUAAUAUUUUGAGGAGCUCCUUUUUAGUAGAAUAAUGGACAGUCGAACAGGUAAGGAGGGGCAUUAUUGGACUUCUGCAAGAAAAUAUGCUUCACAUGCAUGAAUAUGACAGUCGACAACUUUAGAGAGCCAUACCUCUACAGUCAAUAAGGAAGGAAAGUAGUUGGUUUAUCCAACUCUUUUUUGGAAAAUUUGCGCUAUCUUGUGGAAUCUCAUUUAAGGAAACUGUUUGAAGUCACAAAACAGAUCAAAAAGUAAACUUUGGGCCCCAAACAAUGAGGUCUUCCAACUAUAUAUACCUCCCCAAACCAUUCAUCAAAAUUACCACUUACAGCAAACCAUUUCUUGAGCUUCAAGUUUACGUCUAGUUGAGAAGUUCAAGUCUUCAAAUUAUCAAGGUGAGGCAUCGAUGAUUUAGUUUCCUUUUGUGGUUCAUUUCAUUAUUCUUCCAGCUUCUACACAAAAAAGGAAGAAAAAUACAAUAACUUUAGUCUUGAGUCCAAGUUUUUCAAACAAACUAGGCCCUUAAAUACAAGAUUAAUGUGCUGCGAAAUUUUUUCCUAGAAUGAAAUAACUGUUCAUGUGUAAGCAAUGCAGUUCUAGCAUAUAGAACUGAGACCUUGUUGACUAUAACCAUGUAUAGAAUGAGGCCUCAAAGAUGGAUAACCAAUAAGAUUUAAUGGCCUAUUUUACUUCCCAUAUGAAAAUUUGUUCUCAUCAUAUUUUCAAGUUCAAUUUCAGGUAGACAUAAAAUGAGCAGUGGAGAUUGGAUGUGUGCUGCAUGCCAACACAUAAAUUUCAAGAAACGGGAUGCAUGCCAACGAUGCAGCUGUCCUAAAUAUGCAACGCCGGCUGAUGUUGCCAUGUAUGGACUAAACAAAGCAGAAGUCUUAGCUGGAGACUGGUAUUGCAGUGCGAUGAACUGUGGUUCUCACAACUAUGCGAGUCGAACAAACUGCUAUAGAUGUGGUGCCUUAAGAAGUGAUUAUUACGCUGUUGGGGCAGGAGUGAUGGCAUCAGCAGGUUAUGGAUAUGAUGCAAGUGCUAUUCCUGGUUGGAAGAGUGGUGAUUGGAUUUGCAGCAGGUCAGUUCAUAUUUACACAUUUCAUUUCCCAUGCAGUUCACUUACUCUAUAACAAUAACUACGCCUCAAUCCCGAGCAAGAUAGGCUUAACUGUAUGAAUCCUAAAGGUUAAUGUCUCUCCUUUUAAUCUCAUCUCUGUCCAAUACUGCAACAACACCAUCACUACUGUCCAAUAUCGCUCUAGUUAAACUCAUCUCAAACCAACAAUAUACAAAAUAAAAUUAAAAAAUACUAGAAGUUUACUAUAUUUUCUACUGGCAUAUAAAUCUCUGAUAAGACUAGGACUCCUAGAAAACAUUGUAUUAUGAGGAAUCAUCACAAGAUUGACUAGUUUUACGCUAACUGUUAGCCUGCCGCAAUUCUCCUCCUUUUACUACUGAUAUGUGCAGGUGACAUACUAUAGUUGGGAUUUUAACUAACAUAACUUCCUUGAUCGACAGAAUUGGAUGUGGUAUGCACAACUAUGCAAGCAGAGAAGAAUGUUAUAAAUGCAAGACACCUAGGGAUUUUUGUGAGACAUCUUCCAUGCGAUUCUGAUACUUCCUAUCAAUAUUUUACUUUCCAACACCAUUGUUUAUUUACUAACAUCUGUUAAUUUCUCUGUUUUUUAGGAGGUGAUCUGAGAGAAAGUGGAUUAUAUUGAGGGAUGCGGCGACAUUAAGUUAUUACUGAAGAUUUACCAGAAAUCAUAACCUUCAAUGACCUUUCUUCUUUUCCUUUUAGUUUUUCUUUUCUUGUUUAGUAGUUUCCUUGUAGUUGCUCAAAGAAGGGUUUGUAAGUCUAACUGCAUUGUAACUUUACAAAGUGUUCAAUGAAUGAAAUCCCUUCAGAUUUCGCAUUCUUUCUGUCUUUCAAGUUUCAACAACUGCAUUUGUAGGGGUGGUCCAAUAAAAUAAUUUUAUGUAUCCAAUGGAAGGAAUUGCUAGCGUAGGCUCGGGCCUUAUAUGUGUAAGAAAAGAAUAAAAGAAAGUAUAUAUAUAAAGAACCAGACCUACUGACUCUAAAUCCUAAAUACAGUGCUGUGGACUGUGGCUAGUGGCUUAGGUGAGUCUUCCCAACUUACUUUAAACAACACUUGUCACACCUCCUUUUUCUCGAUAGGGAUAGGGGAUAGGGGAUAAGGGAGUUUUUUUCAAUUUAAGUGACAUUAUUCGAAUUGAGAUUAUUUUUAUUUUUUUCAAAGUCGUCACUUGGAAUAUUUAGGGUGUUCCAAGUCACCGGUUUAUUUUAAAUCCCAAAUCGAGAAAAUUUGACUCGGUUUAUGUUCCGCAAACACAGAAGACCAGGUAAGGAAUUUUGUUAAUCCGAGAAAAGGUGCCAGACACUCGCGAAUUUCAUGAUUUUAGCACGGUCGCUUUAAUCAUACCUGGUUUAAUUAGAUUGUUUUAUCACGUAUUUUAAAACCUAAGUGCAUUUUACCUUUUACCGCUUUUAAUUAUGGCGUUUAUGGAUUUAAUCUUUGAAACAGACUACAUGUGUGUAAGUCUGCUUCGUUUGGGGCACUAAAAUCAUGUCACGCGAACGUGUACACAAUUAAUUGUGCUUUAUUAAUUUAAGAUUGUUUGGUCGAAGUUGCGCGAACGCAUACCUCGAUUUAAUUUUGGAUAUCGGGAUCACGUCACGCGGACAUGUACGCAUUCACGAUAGUAGUUUAAAAUCCGUGCCUAAAGCAUUUCUACGAGUGUUUAAUUAAGUCAUUUUAUUUACUAAGAUUGUUUGACCAUGAUCACACGAACAUGUACCUUGGUUUGUUUUUGGCAUCACAACUAUGUCACGCGUGCGUGUACAUGAUUGUAAUAAUUAAGUUGAUUAUAAAUACCUUGAGUUAUGCUUAUGUCUCUAAACUAAAUAUUCUAUGUCAUAUGGCUAAGUGUAAAGGUUUAAUACUAGGUGAUAUGUUUGUUUGUAUUAGAUGGGGGCAGCCUAUGUAUUAUCUGUCAAACAGGCCCAGAUUUAAAGUUUGAGGCCCGAUGAGGAUUGAGUCCAAAUGAACUUUAGCCCAAGACAUAUAUUUUCGUUAUUGGGCUUAGCUAAUGGAUUCAGUUCAAAAGGAUUUGGGCUUGUUUGAGUCUAAUUGACUGCCCAAUGCAUAUUUUAAGGCAGCUAAAUGAAUUCAAUCCAAACGAUUUGGGCCUAGUGAUCAUGGAGUCCAAAUGACUCUGGCCCAAUACCAUGUUGUUAAGCAAUCAAUCAAUUAAACACAUUUAAUUCAGAAAGAUCUAGGGCUAAUGAUGAGUCCAAAUGACUGUGACUUAAUGUUCAAUUUUAUAGACAACUAAAUGAAAUUAACUAAAGGCAUUUGGGCUUGGUGAUAAUGAGCCCAUGUGACUUUGGCACAACUCAAUGUUAUUAAGCAUUCAGUCAAUUAAACACAUUUAAUUCAGAAAGAUCUGGGCCUGAUGAUGAGUCCAAAUGACUCUGGCCCAAUGUUCAUUUUUAUGGACAACUAAAUAAAAUUAACUAAAGAUAUUUGGGCCUGGUGAUAAUGAGUCCAUGUGACUCUGGCCCAGUGCAUAAUUGUGUGAAUGAGUUUGAAAUUAAAAUUUAUAACAACAAUUAUCAGAUUUUACUUAUAUUUUGUUUAUCUUUUAAAACAGAAAACUAAAAAGGGUCUGGGGACACGAACCAAAAUUAAAAUUGGAUAAUUUCCUAUUAAUUGCUUAAAUCUCCUAUUUCUUAUAUUAACUUAUGUUAAAGUGAUAAGUUUUAAAACUCAUUUGCAUUUGAAAAUCUUAAAGUGUAAAGGCCUUUAAUCAACUCAUUUUUAUUAGCCAAAGACCCAGAAUACAAUCUUAUGGACCCAAUUGAUUUGGGCCUGAAUUCGUACCUUGAUUACUGUUAGGUUGCUUGUAAAAUCCAGCUUUUUAUGAUUUUAAACUAAUAGCAUUGGAAUUAGUAUAUUUUAAUUGUUUAAUAACAUAGUAAAGCUACUAACUAACGCAUUGCAUGAGAGGAUAUAAUAUAAAACAAAAUUAAAUUAUUACAUCUCACUAACAUGGACAGUGAUAACAAAUCUGUCUACUACUAAUCUAACAAAUUUUCUAGAAAAAAGAAAGAUUUUCUCUUUUUAACUAUUCGAACGUACCAAUCUUAUGACUAUAUGAAGCUUUAAACAGAUUUUAUAAUUUUUUCAGAACCCUUUAAAAUGAAGCUAAUAUAACUUAAAUUGCCUAAAACAGUGUAAAUAAUUAACUCUACAUGCUUUCAUACACAACUCUCAACCAAACAACUUCAAACAAUAUGAUUCAUGCAGUGCUCAGAUGAAGUAGAAAUUCUUGAUAACCAGCAAAAAUAAAACUUUACAUUGUUAAAAGAAAAUACCUUGAUAGCAGCAAGCAAACUACAGAUAAGAAAAUAAGUAUCUGAAAGCUUGAAGUAAAACAGCAGCAAUAAAACCCAAUAGAAUAAGAAGACGACCAGAUUUUUAAAAAUAGGAAAGGAAUGUAUAUUUUUGAUUCUCAAAGAUCAAGGUUGAUUUUCAAAAGUUUUUCUUUUGAAAGAGAGCAAAAUCUUAAGGCAGUCUAUAUGUGUCCAUAAUGUGUCUUCAUAUCCUUUUCUAAUGAAGAAAGAGGAGUGUAUUAUAUAGAGUGAGAGAGUGAAAAGGGAUGAGAAUUAGGUACAAAAGAAUCUGCUAGAAUUCCUUAUAAAUUAGGAAAAUGACAUCUUUCUUAACAGAAAUGGACAGUUGUCCAAUUUUUAGUACCUUUCUUAUCUCAGAAAAGGGACAAGUGUCUAAUUUUUGGAUAUUUUUGAAUCUUAUCCCUAUUUUCCUACUCAACAUUGGGACAGUUGUCCCUAUUCUAGAAGUUUCUAAUAUUUUCUAAAUAAUUUUCAGAAUUAGGAUUCCAAAACUGACCCUUAAGGGUCUUGGAAUUACCUCAGAACCAGAUUGGUUCUGGGCCUGAGUCGGGUGACUCUCGGCCGAAGGACUUUAGGAUCUUAAGCUUUUACAAAGUUAUGGGCCUGUCUAAAUAGACAGGCCCAAUUUAUGAGCCAAAUAGAACAAGUCACUUCAGUGAGGCCCAGUUCUUAACCAAACCAAAUAACAGUAAAAAUAAAUAAAAAAGAACGAAAAUUAAUUUAAUAAAAAUAAAUANNNNNNNNNNNNNNNNNNNNNNNNNNNNNNNNNNNNNNNNNNNNNNNNNNNNNNNNNNNNNNNNNNNNNNNNNNNNNNNNNNNNNNNNNNNNNNNNNNNNNNNNGACUCCCAUCUGGGAUCUGAAAUCCUUGAUGGGAGAUCUUGGCAGGAGGAUUAUUAAACGGACUAGGUUGGAUUUAGGGUUUUGAAAAAUAAAUCUAGGGUUUUGGAGACCCUAGAUCUAAGAUCUAUGAUUAUUGGUGGGGUUUUGGGAGAUUUGGUUGGUAAGGUGAGGUUUAGGGAGGUGAGGAGAGUGUAUAGGGUAAGUUUGGGUGGCUUUGGAGGUCCACCGCCGCCGUAGGGUGAUUUCCGACGGCGGCGUGGGAGGAGCGUUUUGGGGAGGCUAGGGUUUGGUUAGAGAGAGGUGAGAGACGGAGUCGUCUCUAGGGUUAGAGAGAGAGAUGUGAGAGAGGGGGGAGACGAAAUGAGGGGGUAGGAGAGGGUUUGGACACUUAUAUAUUAAGUGACAGGCGAGUUCCGAGCCGUUGGAUCUUGUGAAGAUCAACGACCAGGAUCGCCUGGCAUUUAGACGACGUCGUUUGGAUUAGUAUAGGGCUGGGCAGAUUCUGGGUAUUGGGCUCGGGUAUUUUGGGCUAAGUUUUGGGGAUUGUGCUAGGUUUUACACUGGCCCAGUCCGAUUUUAGGCUAAUUAAACUCUAUUUUAUUUAAUUAACUUUUAAAAAUCUAUUUAAUUUAAACAAAUCCUAAAUUAAGUGCUAAAUUAUCUUAAUUUAUAAAAUUAAACCAACUAUCUAUUUGUAUUAUUUACAUAAUUAGUUAAUCUUCAAUUAUUAAACGAAAAAAUUACUAAUUUUAACACUAAAACUAAAAAUGUCAAAAAUAAAACAUUUUAUGUGAUUUUCUUCUAAUAAUAUGAUCAAAUUAUGUAAUUAAAUACUAAAUUUAAUUAAAACCUAAUAAUGCUAUAUGAUGAGGAUUUAAAUAUUUUUGUUGUUUUCUAUGAUUUCAAAAAUGCUAAAAAUAGAUGAGAAAUGCAACUAAAUGCAAAUAAUUUCUAAUAAUUAACAAAAAUCCUAACAAGAAAUCUAAAAAAAAUAAAUAUGAAUAAUUUAUUUAUUAAUUUUGUAGGAGUAUUUUGGUAGGGUAAAAAUUACAUGCUCACAGAUGUCCCUCUUUGCUCGGAAACACGAAGAGUUUUCGGGCAAAGACAAAGUGAGCAUUCAUGGACCAAUUUUACCCGUUUUGAUACUCCAUGGGAAACGUUUUGAAAAUGUUUGACCGAACCUUGCUUCAAAGAUUGCCUACAUAUCCUUGGCUAUAAAGGAAUCAGGUUAGUGUAGUUCUGAAGGUUUUGGUAGCUGGGACUACCGGAAAACUAUGAUUUCACUACUGUUGUUGCUGUUACUGUUGUUGAACUCCUUAUUACACCAAAGUAAAAAAUGAAGAAAGCUAACUAAGUCUAUCAACUACGAGUUACAAGAUUCCUAUCUGUAAAUUUUUUGAAGUUUUGACUUGAGUCUUGGCUGGCUCUUUAUGCAGACUCUAAUCUGAAUCUUUGGAAAGUCAUCAGGUUAUGCUAGCAUCAUCAACUAGGGAGUGGAGACCCUAUGUUGGAAAGUCAUCAGGUUAUGCUGGCAUCAACUAGGGAGUGGAGACCCUAUGUUGGAAAGUCAUCAGGUUAUGCCGGCAUCAACUAGGGAGUGGGACCCUAUGUUGGAAAGUCAUCAGGUUAUGCUAGCAUCAACUAGGGAGUGGAGACCCUAUGUUGGAAAGUCAUCAGGUUAUGCUGGCAUCAACUAUGGAGUGGGACCCUAUGUUGGAAAGUCAUCAGGUUAUGUUGGCAUCAACUAGGGAGUGGAGACCCUAUGUUGGAAAGUCAUCAGGUUAUGUUGGCAUCAACUAGGGAGUGGAGACCCUAUGUUGGAAAGUCAUCAGGUUAUGUUGGCAUCAACUACGGAGUGGAGACCCUAUGUUGGAAAGUCAUCAGGUUAUGCUUGCAUCAACUAGGGAGUGGAACCCUAUGUUGGAAAGUCAUCAGGUUAUGCUGGCAUCAACUGGGGAGUGAGACCCUAUGUUGGAAAGUCAUCAGGUUAUGCUGGCAUCAUCAACUAGGGAGUGGAGACCCUAUGUUGGAAAGUCAUCAGGUUAUGCUGGCAUCAACUAGGGAGUGGAAGCCUAUGUUGGAAAGUCAUCAGGUUAUGCUGGCAUCAACUGGGGAGUGAGACCCUAUGUUGGAAAGUCAUCAGGUUAUGCUGGCAUCAACUAGGGAGUGGAGACCCUAUGUUGGAAAGUCAUCAGGUUAUGCUGGUAUCAACUAGAGAGUGGGGACCCUAUGUUGGAAAAGACGCAGCUGGGGAUCAGAGACCGUAGCUUUGAAUUAUUUUCAACAUUAUUUCUUCUUUUCUUCUUUUAUUUUUCAGAGGAUGAGUGAAUGCGGGAAAGAACUUUGGGGAAGACUUCCCUUUUGAAGUUGUUGUUGCAAAGCUUGUUUCCAGCCCUUGCGCAGUUUUCCUUUUGGUUGCCCCUACUUUUUGCAAGGUUGCUUUCGGGUUUCACCUGUUUCCUGUUUUCUUCAACAAAGAACAAUUUGUCAGUUUGAAACGGUGGUUGGUUUUGUGGCCUUGAUUUUUGGUCACUCGAUCUUGGCCCGUCUUUUGGACGAAGAUUUUGAUUGCUUGCUGGCUCACUGGGGAUUGGUUUCAUUUCUAACCCUGGAGAUCUUGACUUUUCCAAAAUCUUACCAAGACGGUUAAUCACGUGGGACUUAACCUUCGUUAACUUUAUUUUUCCCUUGUGGCACUUUGACUUUAAUCCCUUUCCUUUUGGGAAUUCUUGAUUUCGAAGCAUCAGCUAUCAUGGCCGGUCGAGGUCGACUCGAUGUACCUGCCGAGGCUGGACGCUUUUUGCAUACUAGCUUGUAUCAAAUGAGAACCUUAUAGAUCGGUCUUUCCAUCCUUUUUUUGUCUCAAUUUAGAAUAGAAUUAGACCAAAAGGGAUUGAAAGAAAAUAAACAACGGAAUGGAUAAAUGAAUUUAGACAAGAGGUAUCCCUUUCGAGGAAAGGAAAGAAGGACUUAUCUGGAGUGUAUGCGGACUUCAAUGAAAAUGACAUGCCUCUUGGACUGGAUGCCCGAUCUGUGCGAACCGUCCAACUCUCAGAAAUCCACCAUAACUUAUACCUCAAGAUUGAGAAACCUUGCCCAGGACUAUGUCUAUGUCAGCGACCAAUUAUCCUUUUUUCGAUCAGUGGUGCCCUUUGCGGGUUUUCACCAGCUAACCUCUCUCAUUUCUCUUCUCACCAUCGCCUUGUAGUACUCUUUGUGAGUUUUCACUAACGAGGCUCUCUCAUUUUCAAUUUCUUUGCUUACCAUCGCCUCAUGGUGCCCGUAUGGGUUUUCACCGAUAAGACUCUCUCAUUUUAUUUCUCUCGUUUGGUUGUAUCAGAUCUGAGUAACUGUAUCCUCCAAUUUAGGACAUCUUUACCGAUUGAUCGGAAGGACUUGAAUAGGAUUUGGGAAGAAUUUGAAUUGAAUUACAACUUUGGAACCUUUCAGGCAAAAGCGUCGCCAAACCAUUAUAAAUUCUGCCCCAGUUUCAUCUUCGGGGAAAUUUGGAUUUUUAUUUUGGUGUGACUAAACCCCAGAGUAAGGCUGCCUACGUAUCCUUUCGGAAUCAAGUCGAAUGUAGUUCAAGGAAAUAUUUUGUUUUUGUUUCGUUUUUGUUUUGAUUGAUUGAUUUGAUUUUUUUUAUUUUUUACUUUUUUAAUAAUUGAACUUUCAGGUUCCAAGGAGGGUGAUCAAAGAAGAGUAACCGGCUCAAAGGGUUUACAAAAAAUUGAUAGUGUUUGGGUAGCGAGAAUGAAAGCCUUAGUCAUCCCAACUGGAGAGUGUUAAGACCUUGAAAGGGAUUAAACAUAAUACCUUUUGACCGCAUCCGCAUUGACAGCUGUUUUGGGGUCAUUUCCUUCAAUAUCUCCCAAGUACAAUGCACCUUUUGGCAGCAGUUUUCUUAUAAUGUAUGGACCUUUCCAAUUCGGAGCAAACUUGCCUUUUGCUUCUUCAUGAUGCGGGAGAAUACGUCUUAGAACGAGUUGCCCCACUAUGAAGUUUCUAGGCUGCACUUUCUUGUUGUAAGCACGAGCCAUUCUUUGUUGGUAUAACUGCCCGCGACAAACUGUGGCCACUCGCUUUUCGUCAAUCAUAGUUAAUUGUUCCAGCCGAAUCUUGACCCAUUCAUCAUCCUCGAUCUCAGCUUCAACAAUGAUUCGAAAAGAGGGAAUUUCAACUUCUACAGGUAUUACAGCUUCAGUGCCAUAGACCAAUAAGUAAGGCGUGGCCCCAACCGAUGUGCGCACGAUUGUGUGAUAUCCUAAUAAUGCGAAAGGAAGCUUCUCAUACCGUUGCCUAGAACUUUGGAUCAUUUUCCUGAGGAUCUUCUUGAUGUUUUUGUUUGCUGCUUCAACGACACCAUUGGCUUUAGGUCGGUAAGGGGUAGAAUUACGAUGCGUAAUUUUAAACUGUUCGCAUACCUCCCUCAUCAAAUGACUGUUCAGAUUUGCGGCGUUGUUAGUAAUGAUAGUUUUCGGAAUACCAAAGCGACAGAUAAUGUUGGAAUGUACGAAGUCCACCAUUACUUUCUUGGUGAUGGCUUUAAAAGUGACCGCUUUGACCCAUUUUGUGAAGUAAUCAAUGGCAAUCAAGAUGAAUCUGUGCCCAUUUAAGGCUUUCGGCUCGAUCGGCCUAAUGACAUCCAUACCCCAAGUAACAAACGGCCAAGGUGCUGACAUAGGAUGCAACUCUGAAGGAGGUGCAUGAAUCAGGUCACCGUGUAUCUGACACUGAUGGCACUUCUGGACAAAACUGAAGCAAUCCUUUUCCAUGGUCAUCCAGUAAUAACCUACCCGCAGGAUUUUUUUGCCAGGACAUAUCCAUUCAUGUGGGGCCCGCAUACUCCUGAAUACACUUUGUUCAUGAUCUUUUCUGCUUCUUUGGCAUCUACACACCUUAAAAGAUUCAGAUAUGGAGUUCUCUUAUACAACACUUCUCUACUUAAGAAGAAACUGCUGGCAAGCCUUCUAAUGGUUCUCUUUUGGUCUCUAUUGGCCUACUCAGGGUAUUCCUUUGUUUUCAAGAACCUUUUAAUAUCAUGAUACCAUGGUUGGACAUCUGAUUCUACUUCAACCGUGUUGCAAUAACCAUGUCUUUCUCGGAUUUGAAUCUCCAACGGGUCAAUAUGGACAUUGCCCGAAUAUGGCAGCAUUGCAGCUAAGGUAGCUAAUGCGUCCGCUAACUCAUUGUGAAAUUGAGGAAUAUACCUGAAUUCAAAGGAUUUGAACCAUUUGCUAAGAUCUUCCACAUGCUGUCUAUAUGGGAUAAGCUUGAUAUCUCGAGUUUCCCAUUUGCCUUGUGCUUGCCGAAUGAUCGAAUCAGAAUCUCACAUGAUUAAUAAUUCUUCUAUAUCCAUCUCAAUUGCCAUGUUCAUGCCCAUGAUACAAGUUUCGUAUUAAGCGGUGUUAUUCGUACAGAAGAACCGAAGCCAGGUUCUGGCCGGAUAGUGCUGACCAGUAGGCAAAAUCAAAAUUGCCCCAAUCCCGACACCUUUUGUAUUUACAGCUUCAUCAAAGAACAUUUUCCAAGCAUUUGUGUGCUCUAGAAUUAUUUCAACUGAGUUUACUUCCUCAUCCGGAAAGUAAGUGCUUAGGGGUUGGUAUUCAUCAUCAACCUGGUUCUCAGCUAAAUGAUCGGCUAAGGCUUGGGCUUUCAUGGCUGUGUGGGUGACAUAGACAAUGUCAAACUCAGUGAGCAGGAUCUGCCAUUUUGCCAACCUUCCCGUAGGCAUUGGUUUCUGGAAUAUGUACUUCAGGGGAUCCAUUCUGGUUAUGAGAUAUGUGGUAUAAGCCAACAAAUAAUGUCUAAGCUUUUGAGCGACCCAAGUUAAAGCACAACAAGUUCUUUCCAACAAAGUGUACUUGGCUUCAUAACCAGUAAAUUUCUUUCUCAAAUAGUAUAUGGCUUGAUCUUUCUUCCCGGUCGCAUCAUGUUGUCCGAGGACACAACCAAAAGAAUUCUCUAGAACAAUUUAAGUACAAGAUCAAAGGUCUUCCAGGCUCAGCGGAACCAACACCGGCGGAUUUGACAAAUAUUCUUUGAUUUUGUCAAAAGCUUCUUGACACUCAUCCGUCCUUUUAUUCGUUGCGUCUUUCUUUAGCAGCUUAAAUAUGGGCUCACACGUGGUAGUAAGCUGAGCGAUAAACCUACUGAUAUAAUUCAACCUUCCCAGCAAGUUCAUGAACUCUUUCUUGGUUUUCGGAGGUGGCAGAUCUCGGAUAUAUUUUAUCUUUGUUGGAUCCAACUCAAUACCCCUCCGACUGACUAUAAACCCCAAAAGCUUCCCAAAUGGAACUCCAAAUGCACAUUUUAUCCAGAUUCAAUUUCAAAUCAUACCUGCACAGGCACUCAAAGAACUUUCUCAAAUCCUUCACAUGGUCUCCCUGCAUUUUGGACUUAAUGAUCACGUCAUCCACAUACACCUCAAUUUCCCGGUGCAUCGGUUCAUGGAAAAUGGCAGUCAUAGCCCUCAUGUAAGUUAUCCCGGCAUUCUUCAGACUGAAUGGCAUGACCCUGUAAUAGUAAGUCCCCCAUGGUGUGGUGAAAGCUGUCUUUUAUGCAUCUUUUUCAUCCAUCAGGACUUGGUGAUACCCAGCAUAACAAUCCACAAAAGAUUGUAUCUCAUGUUUGGCACAAUUGUCGAUAAGAAUGUGGAUGUUUGGUAACGGGAAGUUGUCCUUGGGGCUUGCUUUGUUCAAAUCCCUGUAAUCAACACAUACUCGGAUCUUCCCGUCCUUCUUUGGUACUGGGACUAUAUUGGCCAACCAUGUGGUGUAUCAGACUACUCGGAUCAUUAAUCUUAUCGCAACUUCUUCUUUAAUCUUAUCGCUGAUAACUAUUUUGAACUUUAUUUACUUUUAUUGGAUAGGUGGACAACCGGGAUAAGUUGGCAACUUGUGUACCACUAGAUCGACACUUAGCCUUGGCAUAUCGUCACAAGACCAUGCAAACACGUCUUUAAAUUCAAACAAAAGUUGGAUCAAUGCAUCUCUAAUUUUUUCCUCGGAUUGAAUACUUAUCAUGGUCUCCUUGACCUCUUCUGAACUGCCCAAAUUAACUGGCUUGGUUUUAUUUAGGUUUGGCUUAGGCGUAUUCUCAAAUUGUUCCAAUUCUCGAUUUAUUUUGCUAAAAGCCUCAUCUUCAUCAUAUUUUGGUUCUUGAUUCAUUAUUUCACAGUUAGACAGUGUUUUUGGAUCUGGGCAUGAAGUCUGCAACCAUGUCAUGUUAUUUAAGUCCGCAUUAUUAGAACUAAAAAGAGAAAGAAAAGAAAAAUAGCAAAAUUAGAAAGAAUAACAGGGAAAGAUUCACAGACGAUGAAAUAUUGAUUUCAUUUCAUUGAAUUUGAAGAUAGGAUGGUUUACAUCGGAAUUUAAAAAGACAACAAAACUAAAAGCAUUCGAGUUACACCCUGAAAUAACUCGGAAUGUAGAAAAGAUGGCAAGACUAAACUACCGGGAUUCCCACCUGACUGGGAAUGGAGUAGCCUACCAGUUUUGCAAUUUAGCAUUGGUCCACAGGUAUUGCACACAGCAGUGCUCGAGCCUUCGCCCGGUUGGACCAAGUGGACUUCGUAGAUAAUUUUCCUCAUUGCUUCACAUCCUCAACUUCAUCGGCCGUGAAGGCCUCUUCUUCUUCUUCUAUAUAUCUUGGCUUAACAAAUGAUUUGGCGAGGUGCGGGAUUAGCUGAGGCAAAACCCACCCAUCUUUCUUACAUUUAUCGGCCCAUUUUUCAUCGGCAUCGGUGGCUUGGAAACCUAUGCCAAAGAAUUUCUUAUUGGCAGCCAAGGUGACGGGUUCUGUGAUGCCCUGUAAGGAUACCCCGAGCCCUUUUCCAGGCUUGUACCCAUGUUUGAUCAUUUUGCUAGCGACCAUGAUUGAUGCGCUUGAUAACAAGGUUGAGGACAUGGGGUUCCUUCCUCGCACUGGUCGGCGAGCACAAUUUCAAAGGCUUGGUAGACGAUGUGUUCGCUUCCCUCUCUUGCCUCGAGGUAUGUGACUGAGGAUCCCUGUAGAUUGACUGUUCAUCUUCUCUAUGGACCACUAUUUCUUGGUUCUCAUGUUCGAACUUGACCAUUUGAUGGAGAGUAGAGAGCAAGACUUCUGCUGCAUGGAUCUAUGGUCUUCCUAACAGAAAGUUAUAGGAAGUGUCCAUGUCCAGAACUUGGAAUGUUACUUCAAAAUCUACGGGCCAAUGGUUAGGAUUAAGUCAAUCUCCCUUAUCGUGUCCCUCUUGACACCAUCGAAAGCACGCACGCAAACAUUGUUUGGUUUGAUCUUUUCAGUCCCAAUUUUCAUCCUCUGCAAUGUUGAUAGAGGGCAAAUAUCGACUUUGGACCCGCCGUCCAAUAUGAUCCUUUUCACAUAAUAUCCCUCACACUUGAAAGUCAAGUGAAGGGCAUUGUUGUGGGCGGCUCCUUCAGGAGGCAAGUCUUUUCGGCUAAAGGAGAUUCGGUUGACCUCAAAAAAUCGCUCUGCCAUUCAUUCUAACUGUUCAACUGUGGUCUCAAUUGGAACAUACACCUCAUUUAGCGUCUUUAGAAGCACCUUUUGGUGUUCGUUUGAGCUCAUCAGUAGAGACAAGAGUGAAACCUGGGAGGGGGCUUUUCUCAGUUCAUCAAUUACAGCAUACUCCGAGGCUUUCAUCUUCCGUAAGAAUUACUCCGCUUCUUCAGAAAUUACAGGCUUUUUGAGGGGGAAAUGCUUCUGCUUGGUUUUGUUCAAUUCUUCUGGGUUAUGAUACUUCCCAGAUUAGUUUGUUUCAUUAACUUCCCCUUUAAAUUCCUUCCCUUUAUAUGUGACAAUUAUCUUAUUGUAGUUCCAAGGGACGACAAUGGUGUCUUUUAUGGGAUUUUGUGGCAUGCGGCUAAUGGUUAAAGGCUCAUCCAGCCUAGGUGGAAUGACUGGCCUCCGUGCCACGUAAGUCCCUUUUGGUACAUACAUUUUUGGUAGAUUUGGUAUGGUUUUCCUCUGCUUUAAUCUCUUGGGAGGGCUUAAAAUGAGUUGUCCCUUUCUGGGGGCUCUUGGGACGUAGAGAAUGGCCUUUGGCAGGUGUUGCCCCUGUCUUUGCUUCCCCGUCCUUUUCUUUAUUUUGGGGAGUGGAAUUCAUCUUUUUCUCAUCCCUGACCUGUUUUGCCACUGCUUUAGUUUUCUUCUCUGAAUCAGCAAUGGCAAUAAUCGCUUUUAAUGCGGGGUCGAAUUCUUUGUCUUCACAGAUCAUCCCGAUGACCGGCCUGUUGUUGUGGGCCGGUAACGGGUUGUUAGUUACAUUAGGGACUUCCUCGUCCCUUAACACUACCCGCUUUUGUUCUAUCAGAUUCUCGACUGCUCUCUUAAGGGUCCAACAAUCUUCAGUGUCAUGCCCUUCCGUCCCUGAGUGGUAAGCGCACCUGGUACUUCGCCUGUAGGAUGGAGAUUCCGGGUUCUGUCUGUUCAGAGGUACAGGCUGUAACAUGCCUAUUUGGUCUAAUUUUGGGAAGAGGCUGGAGUAAGAUUCACCGAUGGGGGUGAAGUCAGUUUUCCUGGGUGGUUCACGGGGAAGGGUGUUAUAUUGGUAAUUAUUCUGUGGUGGACGGGGAUUAUACGGAGCUUGGUGAGGAGGGUUGUUUCUUGGAGGUAGAGCUCUGUUUUGGUUGUAAUGCUGUUAUGGCCUGGUGUAUGGUUGGGCAUUCAUUACUGCAUAAGGAUGAGGGGCCAUAACAUAGGCUGCAUCCUGGUGGGGGUAAUAAUGUUGCGGGACCCUGGAAGACGGACCGGAAUAAUCCCGGGGUCGCCGAGAAUUUCUUAAGCUUGAAGCCAUCAUAGCUCCCUCUUCUUUUUUCUUUCGGUUGGUCAAACCUCCCGAGCCGCUCUGAAUGGCUUGGGAAGUGGCUCUUAAAGCUGAUUGACUUAAGAUGCGGCCUGUUUUUAGGCCAUUUUCUACCAUUUCUCUAAUUUUAAUGGCCUCCGCGAACGGUUUGACCAUGGCAGAUAUCAUGUUUUGGAAAUAAUCGGCAUCUUAGGCCUUUAAGAAGACACUGACCAUCUCGGUCUCAUCCAUCGGGGGUUUUACCCUGGCCGCUUGUUCACUCCAUUUGAUAGCGUAUUCUCGGAAGCUUUCCAAAGCUUUCUUUUUGAGGUUGGAUAAAAAAUUUCUGUCUGGAGCUAUGUCCACAUUGUAUUGGAAUUGCCUUAUGAAAUCCCGAUCUAGGUCAUCCCAUAUAUGCCAACAGGAGAUGUUUUGGUCCAUAUACCACUCAGAAGCAAUUCAGGUGAGGCUUUCUCCGAAAUAGGCCAUUAAUAGCUCCUCUUUUCCACUGGCACCCCUCAGUUGGUUACAAUAUCGCUUUAAAUGAGCAGUCGGGUCUCCAUGCCCGUCAUAUCUUUUGAACUUUGGUGUUUUGAAGCCGAUGGGUAAAUGCACGUGAGGAAACAUGCACAGAUCCGCAUAUGAAAUGCUCUUCUGGCCACACAGGCCCUGCAUGUUCUUGAGGCUUUGUUCGAUGCUUUUCAUUUUUCGUGCUAUCUCUUCUUGUUCAGGAUUCCUCACGACUUUCUCAUGUUCUACGGGAGACACAAAUUGUGGGUGCUGAGGAUAGGAAUUUGGGGUAACCCGAGUGGUGUCCAAUUGGAAUUGGGGAGCUUGGAAAGUAAAAGUUGAUGGUUCAAAGGUUUGUCAAGGCAGUGUUGGUUGUGCCAUGCUAGAGGCUGGUGGUGCUGUGAACACUAUAGAUGAUAUUGCUGAAGAUGGUGCCUGGGGGCGAACCUCAGAAGGCAUACCAGCGAAGUUGGUUGACAUGGUGGGGUACCCAAACGGGAUGAAUGGGUUGGUCACUGGGAUAGGGACAUUGGUGGUUCCUCCCGUCCUGGGGAGCAAUUCACGAAAUCUAGGGAUAGUACUGGGUGGUUCCCUGCCGUUGGACCAUGCGUCCCAUAUUUCUAGCAUACGACAUCGUAGCCUUAUAUUUUCUUCAGCAGCUGCUGACUCUGACUGCAGGAUAACCGAUACCGGGAUAUCCUCGGGCUCAAUGAUGGGUAGAUGACUUUCUGAGGUCAUGGCCAUACUUCCUUUAGAUCUCAUAAAAUAAGGGUGUGAAGCCAUAUUACCACCACAAAACCAACCACCUAAAAAUAGAACCUGUUCUUUUAGAGCACACACAACAAACCGGUUAGUUUGAGACAUUUAACACAUAGGGAAUUGCAUAUUGGGGGAUGCAAUGCACCUAAACAGUUAAACAUUUUCCUAAAUAUUUUGCAACGGCUGUGUGUUUCAUCCCGGCUUUAUUGUCUCUCUUUUUUUUUCUUAAUUACUUUAUUUAGGGUUAUGAACAAAUCCUACAUGUAUUGCCUACGUAUCAUGACGCCGCAUGAAUCAGAUCAUUAAGUAGUUCAGGGGAUAGGUAUGAAGUAACAAAGCACAUUGUUUUUUUCAUUUCAUUAACAAAGAUAUCUCUUUUAUUUGGUUUUUCAUUACAGGGAAUUAGAGAACUAAUGACUAUAAAGAAAAACAAUACAGACUCAAAAUAAAUGACAAACCAAUUUUGAACAAAACUCUAGAAAGCAGUAAAGUACAGACUCGAAAAUUGGAAAGUCAAAAGUACAUGAGAGCCUCUACUGGUCUUCUUGGAGCCUGUGGGGCAUUAGCUGGUCUUUGCGCGGGCCUUCACGCAAUAUCUUCUUGAAGAUGGUCUAAGUUAUCCAUUGCCUGGUAGACGAAGGUCAUCAUAGAAGCGAAAAACAUGGACCUAGUCAUGUCUUCACACUCAUGACAUUUUAUCACGACAUAAUCAGCUAUCUCCUUAAUCCUGGUUCUGAUAACUCCUUUCUCUUGAAGUAGACGCCCAAUUUGCUACGCCCGAGCCUCCAACACUUGUGCGUUGGUAUUGUUUUGGUCCUGUAGUUGUUGCACGCUUUCUUCUAUUUGGCAAAUUAGUGCGUAGCAGUGCUCCUUUUUGUCUUAAAAUCUUUGGUUUGCUGGACCAUUUCAUUCCCAAGGGAAAAAAACUUUUCCUUUAGAAUUGUUAUUUCUUUGCCAUAUUUUUGUCUCAAAUGGUGGGCCUGUUCUUCUGCUCCUUUGGCCAACUUUGUUUGAGCAUUUAGCAAAUCUUUUUCGGCCUUUAUCAAGUCAGCUGCAUAGUUGUGUACCUUCAUUCUUAAGUUAUUGAUGAUUUUUUCAUCUCUCUCGCUCCUUACAGGAGUUUCGAUGGCUAUCCUCAUGUCCCGGAGUUGGGCUCGGAGCGCCUCGUUCUCUCGGCUCAAUUUUCUCUUUUUACCUUCGGUUACCUGUGCCUGUAAGUCAUUGUCGAAUGCGAGGUUCCUCAACUUUUCCUCUAAGGCAUGGAUGGUGGCUUUAUAUUUCUUUUCCUUUUCUCCCCAGGCCAAACGUUCUCGGACUUUGUCAUCAAAAGCUUGAACAUGAGGCCUCUUGGCGGGCCUUUCUGGCUCGGUCUCCGGUUCCUCAUCAAUGCAAUUCCUUUUUUCGAACCAUGCGGCAUAGCCCAGAUUUACUUCGCCUUUGGCAAGAUCAGGCACUUGGGUGUCCUCUUUUAAGUAUCGACACCCAUUCCAAAUUUGUUGAAUUAAAGCUUCGGGAAGUGGGGCUUCGGGAUGUAGCUCAAUAACUUGGACACUCAAGUCUUCAUCCUCAGGAACUACUUGAUACCUUCCCAAUUGUCUUAGAACCCUUUGCAGCGCAUAUGGUUGGACACUUCUCAAGCCCAUCAAUAGCAAAUAAUUUUUUGUGGCUAUCAUGUAUAUGACUUCCCUCACUGGGAGCCAUCCUAAAGUCCACUCAAUCUGAUUCACCUUUAAAGUUCUUAAGUGGGCGAUCCAAGCUUCAACCCCUUCUAGAGAGUUAUAAUCUUUUACCCUCUCCUCAUAACUCUUAAUGAAGUUGCUCUUGCUUGGGCCGUAACUUAUAAAUUUCGGAUAAUGGCGAAGAUAUUCAAUUAACCACAUUUGUAGAAGGAUAUUGCAACCUUCAAAGAAUGUCGCCCCAGCCUUACACCGGGUUAAUACCUGAUAGAUAUCCGACAAUAUAAGUGGAGCAAGUGUGUGAUCUUCUUUGGCAGUUAGGACUUGUGCAAUUCUAGCCAUACAGAUAUCUAUUGUUCCUUUUUCAUUUGGGAAGACCAUGAUGCCUAGGAGUGCCACUAUGAAAGCAAAGCGACGAUGAGUUUUCCAAGUAUUUUUACUUUGCUUGUUGUUCAACCCCUUUUCAUGCGUUUCAAACCCAUUUGGAUGUCCAUACCUGGAGUACAGGAAGUAGAAAGAGCAACAUCCAUCGUUUACAUUGUUCUUCUUUAUUUGUUUUUUGAUGUUCAAGAUAUCAAAGAACCGACGCAUAGAGGGAGGCCUUAGGAAUAUAAGUUGUUAUUUUCUUAAGUCCCGGCCGAAAUCAAUAUAUCCGGCUAUUUCCUCCAGAAUGGGAGUGAGCUCAAAGUCCGAGAAGUGAAAGACAUUGUGAACGGGAUCCCAGAAGGGCACUAAAGCCUUGAUUAGAUAAUUCUGGGGCUUGACUUUCAUAAUAUCCGUGAGAGCACCCAAAUGUUCUACUACCCAGUCUUGACCAUCUUUACCCAAGUCAUACCAUCACAUUUGAAGCUGCAGUGGAGCCUGCUCUAUAACAUUUAACGGCGGGUUCUGGAAAGUGUUUAUUUUGUACAUGUGAAUGGUUAGGGUUGAUUCUAGUUCAAAAGACAGACUAGCGGAUUCUUUUGCAAAAAUCAGUUCUCAAUUUUUCAAAGGGAAAUCACCUGAAGGUGGCUAUUUGUGCAGCAUUGGCCAAAAUGAUCAUCUUUGCAAUAAUGGCCCCUUCCUACUUUCAAAUAAAAUUUUGAGGCCGGGGUAAGGCACUUUAUGGGAAAAGUGAUGCCUUAUUGACAGACAUGUACGUUCUUGGCGAGAAUAGACCUUCGACAAUUUAAAGGUAUUCUAAGGCUAUUCCGGCAAAAAUGGCGCAGGACUUAGCCAAAGCUGGGUCGGUUUUAUUUUUUGACCAAUGGACAUACUUUAUUUAUUUGGUUAGAAAAUUGGGGUCGACACCGAUGAGGUUUGCCUACGUAUCUCACAUCCGGUGAGAAUCAGGCCCGCAUAGUUCGGUCAGUUUUGACAUCAUUGGAAAAGCAUGAUAUUGACUUACUUUGAAAUGCAUUUUCUUUUUCUCUCUCUUUUUCAAAAUAUUUUGGCAGAGUUUCGAGGCAUUUUCAAAUACCGGAAUUUUCAGAACUGGGUGAAUUUUCUAUCCUACCUCACUCUUGGUUUUUCUGUUGUUUUUAUUUUCUUAACCGGUCAACAAACAAACCGAAACAAAUAAAUGCGCACAUAGCACGUAAGAUGCAUCAGGAUGGUCUUUUAUUUCGGGUACACUUGUCCUAGACGGACCCAACCCCUGUGUUGAGUUCCCAAAAGUCAAAUGCACAUGAUGCAAACAAACGUUCCUACUAGGGAUCCAGCAUGAGGCUAUGUUAUUCUAGGUUUAAACCUGGGGUGUGUUCUAGACAUGGCUUACCCAAGCGGACAGCUUGAGCCAAGGUGGGAGCGACGUACCGAGAGCACGAAAGUCUAUCCGGCCUAGUGGCUGAUCCAUCCUCGUUCUAUUUGGUACGAUCUCUAACAUAAAAUUGGGCCACGCAUACGUAUGCACUAUAUUUUAGAAGACUCAAAAAGGAGGUGUAAGAAGACAGUAAUAAAGUUCAAAUAAUCUCAAAGCGGUAAAUGAGCGGCAAUUAGCACAUUAGGCCCACAAAUACAGUAUUAUCAAUAAUGAAUAAAGCCAAGUACAAAUUACAUUACAAGCUCGAAUUCUGGAACCCUGAACCAGAGAUUUUGGGUUCGAUCCCCAGCAGAGUCGCCAGAGCUGUCACACCUCCUUUUUCCCGAUAGGGAUAGGGGAUAAGGAAAUUUUUCUAAUUUAAGUGACAUUAUUCGAAUUGAGAUUAUUUUUAUUUUUUUCAGAGUCGCCACUUGGAAUAUUUAGGGUGUUCCAAGUCACCGAUUUAUUUUAAAUCUCAAAUUGAGAAAAUUUGACUCGGUUUAUGGUCCGCGAACAUAGAAGACCGAGUAAGGAAUUCUAUUAACUCGGGAGAAGGUGUCAGGCACUCCCGAAUUCCGUAGUUUUAGCACGGUCUCUUUAAUCAUAUAUGACUUAAUUAGAUUGUUUAAUCACAUAUUUUAAAACCUAAGUAUAUUUUACCUUUUACCACUUUUAAUUAUGACAUUUAUCGAUUUAAUCUUUGAAACAGACUACAUGUGUGUAAGUCUGCUUUGUUUGGGGCACUAAAAUCAUGUCACGUGAACGAGUACAUAAUUAAUUGUGCUUUAUUAAUUUAAGAUUGUUUGGCUGAAGUUGCGUGAAUGCAUACCUCGAUUAAUUUUGGAUAUCGGGAUCACGUCACGUGGCAUGUACGCAUUCACGAUAGUAGUUUAAAAUCCGCGCCUAAAGUAUUUUUACGAGUGUUUAAUUAAGGCAUUUUAUUUACUAAGAUUGUUUGACCAUGGUCACGCGAACAUGUACCUUAGUUUGUUUUUGGCAUCACAACUAUGUCACGCGUGCGUGUACAUAAUUAUAAUAAUUAAGUUGAUUAUAAAUACCUUAAGUUAUGCUUAUGUCUCUAAACUAAAUACUCUAUGUCAUAUGGCUAAGUGUAAAUGUUUAAUACUAGGUGAUAUGAUUGUUUGCAUUAGAUGGGGGCAGCCUAUGUAUUAUCUGUCAAGAGGUCCCCGAUUUAAAGUUUGAGGUCUGAUAAGGAUUGAGUCCAAAUGAACUCUAACCCAAGACAUAUAUUUUCGUUAAUGGGCCUAGCUAAUGGAUUCAGUUCAAAAGGAUUUGGGCCUGCUUGAGUCUAAUUGACUCUGGCCCAAUGCAUAUUUUAAGGCAGCUAAAUGAAUUCAGUCCAAACGAUUUGGGCCUAGUGAUCAUGGAGUCCAAAUAACUCUGGUCCAAUACCAUGUUGUUAAGCAAUCAAUCAAUUAAACAUAUUUAAUUCAGAAAGAUUUGGGCCUGAUGAUGAGUCCAAAUGACUCUGGCCUAAUGUUCAUUUUUAUGGACAACUAAAUAAAAUUAACUAAAGACAUUUGGGCCUGGUGAUAAUGAGUCCACGUGACUCUGGCCCAACUCAAUGUUAUUAACCAUUCAAUCAAUUAAACAUAUUUAAUUCAGAAAUAUCUGGGUCUUAUGAUGAGUCCAAAUGACUCUGGCCCAAUGUUAAUUUUUAUGGACAACUAAAUAAAAUUAACUAAAGACAUUUGGGCCUAGUGAUAAUGAGUUCAUGUGACUCUGGCCCAGUGUAUAUUUAUGUGAAUGAGUUUGAAAUUAAAAUUUGUAACAACAAUUAUCAGAUUUUACCUAUAUUUUGUUUAUCUUUUAAAACAGAAAACUAAAAAGGGUCUGGGGACACGAACCAAAAUUAAAAUUGGAUAAUUUUCUUUUGAUUGCUUAGAUCUCCUAUUUCUUAUAUUAACAUAGUGAUAAGUUUUAAAACUCAUUUGCAUUUGAAAAUCUUAAAGUGUAAAGGCCUUUAAUCAACUCAUUUUUAUUAGCCAAAGACCCAGAGUACAAUCUCAUGGACCCAAUUGAUUUGGGUCUGAAUUCGUGCCCUAAUUACUGUUAGGUUGCUUGUAAAAUCCAGCUUUUUAUGAUUUUUAACUAAUAGCAUUGGAAUUACUAUAUUUUAAUUAUUUAAUGACAUAGUAAAGCUACUAACUAACGCAUUGUAUGAGAGGAUAUAAUAUAAAACAGAACUAAAUUAUUACAUCUCACUAACAUGGAAAGUGAUAACAAAUCUGCCUACUACUAAUCUAACAAAUUUUCUAGGAAAAAGAAUGCUAUCUUGUUUUUACUAUUCGAACAUACCGAUCUUAUGACUACAUGAAGCUUUAAACAUAUUUUAUAAUUUUUCCAGAACCCUUUAACAUGAAGCUAACAUAACUUAAAUUGCCUAAAACAGUAUAAAUAAUUAACUCUACAUACUUUCAUACAUAACUCUCAACCAAACAACUUCAAACAACAUGAUUCAUGCAGUGCUCAGAUGAAGUAGAAAUUUUUGAUAACCAGCAAAAAUAAAACUUUACAUUGUUAAAAGAAAAUACCUUGAUAGCAGCAAGCAAACAACAUUUAAGAAAAUAAGUCUCUAAAAGCUUGAAGUAAAGCAGCAGCAAUGAAACCGAGUAGAAUAAGAAGACGACCAGAUUUUUAAAAAUAGGAAAGGAAUGUAUAUUUUUUAUUCUAAAAGAUCAAGGUUGAUUUUCAGAAGUUUUUCUUUUGAAAGAGAGCAAAAUCUUAAGGCAGUCUAUAUGUGUCCAUAAUGUGUCUUC